This 764-nucleotide ribosomal RNA is filed under the name Cortinarius orellanus. Its description in RNAcentral is "eukaryotic LSU rRNA". It matches the Rfam family "Eukaryotic large subunit ribosomal RNA", at positions 87 to 827 of the family's 3401-position model. The record is from RNAcentral. Lineage: Eukaryota; Fungi; Basidiomycota; Agaricomycetes; Agaricales; Cortinariaceae.
CUGCGAGUGAAGCGGGAAAAGCUCAAAUUUAAAAUCUGGCGGUCUUUGGCUGCCCGAGUUGUAAUCUAGAGAAGUGUUAUCCGCGCUGGACCGUGUACAAGUCUCCUGGAAUGGAGCGUCAUAGAGGGUGAGAAUCCCGUCUUUGACACGGAGCUCCCAGGGCUUUUGUGAUGCGCUCUCAAAGAGUCGAGUUGUUUGGGAAUGCAGCUCAAAAUGGGUGGUAAAUUCCAUCUAAAGCUAAAUAUUGGCGAGAGACCGAUAGCGAACAAGUACCGUGAGGGAAAGAUGAAAAGAACUUUGGAAAGAGAGUUAAACAGUGCGUGAAAUUGCUGAAAGGGAAACGCUUGAAGUCAGUCGCGUUGUCCAGGGAUCAACCUUGCUUUUGCUUGGUGCACUUUCUGGUUAACGGGUCAGCAUCAAUUUUGACCAUUGGAAAAAGAUUAGGGGAAUGUGACAUCUUUGGAUGUGUUAUAGCCCUUGGUUGCAUACAAUGGUUGGGAUUGAGGAACUCAGCACGCCCUCAGGGGUCGGACCUUUAUUUAGGUCACGUACGUGCUUAGGAUGCUGGCAUAAUGGCUUUAAUCGACCCGUCUUGAAACACGGACCAAGGAGUCUAACAUGCCUGCGAGUGUUUGGGUGGAAAACUCGAGCGCGUAAUGAAAGUGAAAAGUUGAGAUCCCUGUCAUGGGGAGCAUCGACGCCCGGACCAGACCUUUUGUGACGGUUCUGCGGUAGAGCAUGUAUGUUGGGACCCGAAAGAUGGU